This 260-nucleotide ribosomal RNA is filed under the name uncultured bacterium. RNAcentral's name for it is "partial 16S ribosomal RNA". It matches the Rfam family "Bacterial small subunit ribosomal RNA", at positions 28 to 292 of the family's 1533-position model. The record is from RNAcentral.
GAUGAACGCUAGCGGCAGGCUUAACACAUGCAAGUCGAGGGGUAUGCUUCUUCGGAAGCAGAGACCGGCGCACGGGUGCGUAACGCGUAUGCAAUCUACCUUUUACAGAGGGAUAGCCCAGAGAAAAUUUGGAUUAAUACCUCAUAGUAUUAUAGAAUGGCAUCAUUUUAUAAUUAAAGUCACAACGGUAAAGAUGAGCAUGCGUCCCAUUAGCUAGUUGGAAGGUAACGGCUUACCAAGGCUACGAUGGGUAGGGGUCC